GAUGAACGCUGGUGGCGUGCCUAAUACAUGCAAGUCGAGCGAACAGACGAGGAGCUUGCUCCUUUGACGUUAGCGGCGGACGGGUGAGUAACACGUGGGUAACCUACCUAUAAGACUGGGAUAACUUCGGGAAACCGGAGCUAAUACCGGAUAAUAUUUCGAACCGCAUGGUUCGAUAGUGAAAGAUGGCUCUGCUAUCACUUAUAGAUGGACCUGCGCCGUAUUAGCUAGUUGGUAAGGUAACGGCUUACCAAGGCAACGAUACGUAGCCGACCUGAGAGGGUGAUCGGCCACACUGGAACUGAGACACGGUCCAGACUCCUACGGGAGGCAGCAGUAGGGAAUCUUCCGCAAUGGGCGAAAGCCUGACGGAGCAACGCCGCGUGAGUGAUGAAGGUCUUCGGAUCGUAAAACUCUGUUAUUAGGGAAGAACAAACGUGUAAGUAACUGUGCACGUCUUGACGGUACCUAAUCAGAAAGCCACGGCUAACUACGUG
This 497-nucleotide ribosomal RNA is filed under the name uncultured bacterium. Its description in RNAcentral is "partial 16S ribosomal RNA". It matches the Rfam family "Bacterial small subunit ribosomal RNA", at positions 28 to 507 of the family's 1533-position model. The record is from RNAcentral.